Acanthosepion pharaonis is the source of this 94-nucleotide non-coding RNA. The record is from the annotation of a GenBank genome assembly. NCBI's taxonomy places the organism in Eukaryota, Metazoa, Mollusca, Cephalopoda, Sepiida, Sepiidae.
GAACACUGGUUCCCAUAUGAUCACUGAAGUUAAGCAAAGUAUAGCCUGGUCAGUGCCUAGAUGGGUAAUCACUUGGGAAUAUCAAGUGCUGUAA